AGUGAACGCUGGCGGUAGGCCUAACACAUGCAAGUCGAACGGCAGCACAAGAGAGCUUGCUCUCUGGGUGGCGAGUGGCGGACGGGUGAGGAAUACAUCGGAAUCUACUCUGUCGUGGGGGAUAACGUAGGGAAACUUACGCUAAUACCGCAUACGACCUACGGGUGAAAGCAGGGGACCUUCGGGCCUUGCGCGAUUGAAUGAGCCGAUGUCGGAUUAGCUAGUUGGCGGGGUAAAGGCCCACCAAGGCGACGAUCCGUAGCUGGUCUGGGAGGAUGAUCAGCCACACUGGAACUGAGCCACGGUCCAGACUCCUACGGGAGGAAGCAGUGGGGAAUAUUUGACAAUGGGCGCAAGCCUGAUCCAGCCAUACCGCGUGGGUGAAGAAGGCCUUCGGGUUGUAAAGCCCUUUUGUUGGGAAAGAAAUCCAGCUGGCUAAUACCCGGUUGGGAUGACGGUACCCAAAGAAUAAGCACCGGCUAACUUCGUGCCAGCCGCCGCCGUAA
This 506-nucleotide ribosomal RNA is filed under the name uncultured bacterium. RNAcentral describes it as "partial 16S ribosomal RNA". It matches the Rfam family "Bacterial small subunit ribosomal RNA", at positions 29 to 523 of the family's 1533-position model. The record is from RNAcentral.